CCUACGGGAGUCUGCAGUGGGGAAUAUUGGACAAUGGGCGAAAGCCUGAUCCAGCCAUGCCGCGUGUGUGAAGAAGGCCUUCGGGUUGUAAAGCACUUUCAGUGGGGAAGAAAGCCUUGGGGCUAAUACCCUCGAGGAAGGACAUCACCCACAGAAGAAGCACCGGCUAACUCCGUGCCAGCAGCCGCGGUAAUACGGAGGGUGCGAGCGUUAAUCGGAAUUACUGGGCGUAAAGCGCGCGUAGGCGGUCUGAUAAGCCGGUUGUGAAAGCCCCGGGCUCAACCUGGGAACGGCAUCCGGAACUGUCAGGCUAGAGUGAAGGAGAGGAAGGUAGAAUUCCCGGUGUAGCGGUGAAAUGCGUAGAGAUCGGGAGGAAUACCAGUGGCGAAGGCGGCCUUCUGGACUGACACUGACGCUGAGGUGCGAAAGCGUGGGUAGCAAACAGGAUUAGAUACCCUUGUAGUC
RNAcentral lists this ribosomal RNA (465 nucleotides) under Vreelandella stevensii. Its description in RNAcentral is "partial 16S ribosomal RNA". It matches the Rfam family "Bacterial small subunit ribosomal RNA", at positions 338 to 795 of the family's 1533-position model. The record is from RNAcentral. Lineage: Bacteria; Pseudomonadati; Pseudomonadota; Gammaproteobacteria; Oceanospirillales; Halomonadaceae.